AGCUUUCCACAGUGGCAAUGUCGUAACUGAUAAGGCUUGAUUAUUGUUAACUGAAAACUUUUCCCAGUACCCUGUCAUGACGACUGGCACUGGUAAUUUUUGACAGUCUCCAUGGAAA
This 118-nucleotide small nuclear RNA is filed under the name Carlito syrichta (Philippine tarsier). Its description in RNAcentral is "U4 spliceosomal RNA (ENSTSYG00000025019.2)". Lineage: Eukaryota; Metazoa; Chordata; Mammalia; Primates; Tarsiidae. The record is from RNAcentral.